RNAcentral lists this ribosomal RNA (604 nucleotides) under uncultured bacterium. Its description in RNAcentral is "bacterial SSU rRNA". It matches the Rfam family "Bacterial small subunit ribosomal RNA", at positions 332 to 929 of the family's 1533-position model. The record is from RNAcentral.
CCGACUCCUACGGGAGGCAGCAGUAGGGAAUCUUCCGCAAUGGGCGAAAGCCUGACGGAGCAACGCCGCGUGAGUGAAGAAGGAUUUCGGUUCGUAAAGCUCUGUUGUUAGGGAAGAAUGAUUGUGUAGUAACUAUACACAGUAGAGACGGUACCUAACCAGAAAGCCACGGCUAACUACGUGCCAGCAGCCGCGGUAAUACGUAGGUGGCAAGCGUUGUCCGGAAUUAUUGGGCGUAAAGCGCGCGCAGGUGGUUUAAUAAGUCUGAUGUGAAAGCCCACGGCUCAACCGUGGAGGGUCAUUGGAAACUGUUAAACUUGAGUGCAGGAGAGAAAAGUGGAAUUCCUAGUGUAGCGGUGAAAUGCGUAGAGAUUAGGAGGAACACCAGUGGCGAAGGCGGCUUUUUGGCCUGUAACUGACACUGAGGCGCGAAAGCGUGGGGAGCAAACAGGAUUAGAUACCCUGGUAGUCCACGCCGUAAACGAUGAGUGCUAAGUGUUGGUCUCAUAAGAGAUCAGUGCUGCAGCUAACGCAUUAAGCACUCCGCCUGGGGAGUACGACCGCAAGGUUGAAACUCAAAGGAAUUGACGGGGGCCCGCACAAG